RNAcentral lists this long non-coding RNA (4525 nucleotides) under Brassica rapa (field mustard). Its description in RNAcentral is "long non-coding RNA (BRAP_LNC002307)". Lineage: Eukaryota; Viridiplantae; Streptophyta; Magnoliopsida; Brassicales; Brassicaceae. The record is from RNAcentral.
UGACGAGCUUGACGAUGUCCUGGCGUGCGGUGGCUCCGGCGAGGACUUCUGGUGGCAGCAUGCAGUGGUUCCUAUCUUUCUUUCUCUCACUCUCUCUCUUUUUCACUUCUUCUUCUCUCUAACUUUUCUUAUUUCUUUUUGAUGCAGGUGGAGAAAACAAUGUGAAAAAUGAGGUAUUUAUAAACAAACAUUUUAGUCUUGAUGUAUUGCUUGGGCCUUAGCCGGCAAACGAGUUCCGAGAUCGAAAUUCGGGUCGUUACAAUUCUCCCCCACUUAUAAGGAAUUCGUCCCCGAAUUCAAGUCAUAAUCUGAUAUGUCCAAUGUCAUCAUAACAAAACCUCGAAUAAUAAUCCUUGCUCGGCUCAGGUCUCCUCUUAAAUCCUAUUCCUCCCAACGAACCUUGACCAACAUGGUCACUAGAUACAUGGUCACCACUUCCUAGACUGAUUUCACUUGCUGACCAAUAAAGAGAUAUGUUCCCAUAUAUUUUGGUUAAGCUUCUUUAGAUUCCGAGUCUUUGAUUCUUCUUGAAACAUCCUCCUUCAGAUUUAUUAGGUCGCCAACUUCAAAAUCCAAAUCCUUACGGCGCUUAUCCACGUAACUCUUUUGACGGUCAUGGGCUUCCUAACCUAAGCUUCGAGCAUUUCCAUUUGCUCUACCGUCUCUUGAAUCAUUGCUGAUUCCAUCUCACGUCUCUCCCCCACUUUGGUCCAACAAAGUGGUGUACGACUAGACCCACCAUAAAAACCUCGACGAUACCAUCAUAAUACUCAAAUGAUAACAUGUAUAUCGCGAUGAAUCUUGAUCGUUCCCAAGCUCUCCAUAACAACAAUCUGAAUCUGCUUAUAUUUCGGUUAGAAGAUCCCCCAAAAAAAAACUAAAACUUAACCAAACGCGAACUCACAAAACUAUGAAAAGCUCUUAAGUCAAAUAAGGUGUGAAGUAACUCACACCAACCACAACCAAUCAUACACGAGAUUCACUAAUCUCGAACUAUACAAGAUAACCACAAAACCACAAAUAUUAACACAAGCAAGUAUGUUAAGAACACAUACCCGCUAUCGGCUCAGCUCCAUGGGGAUCUCCAACCGCAAACGCACGUGGAGCGAUGGCUAGACGCUUCGGUGGUGGUGGAAGUGCCGCAUUGCCCCUCCUCGGGCAAUCUCUGAUGAAGUGACCUGGCUGACCACAGUCAAAGCAGACAUGUGCCGCUGCUGGUGCUGCUGGUGCUGCAAUCUGUCUGACUGGUGGCGCAACCUGAGCAUCAAAUAGCCUACUCUGACAAACCCUACUCUUAUGUCCCAUCUUUCCACAGUAAAAGCACUGUAUGCUCGGUUUGUCCCAUGUCCUCUGCUGUGCCUCUGAAGUCCCUCCAAACUUAGGCUGAACUGCCUUGGAGUACUUCUGCUCCUCUGCCAAACCUGCCUCCUGCUCGGCAGCCUUCUCCACCAAAUCUCCCAAUCUGUGAUAAGUGACGACACAGCACCUGUUGCGAAUCUCCACUCGCAUCCCAUUCAAAAAUUUCCUCAUCAGGUCUUCCUCUAAAAUGCCCUCUCUAGCAAAUCUGCGAAGUUGGUUAAACACAACCUCAUACUCCCUGAUAGACAUCUCACCCUGGCUUACAUGCUCGAACUCGCAUUUCUUCCUAUCCAUAGCUUCCUUCGGAAAGUAUUUCCUAUCGAACUCUCGGAUGAAGUCUGCGAAGGUAAGCCUCUCUGGCCCAAGGUGACUCAAUCGUAUUCCCUCCCACCAUAUAAGAGCAUCUCCACGAAGGUACUGCAUAGUCAAUCUGAGCGACAACUCUGGUGGACACUCAAUAAUCUCCAGCUUCCGCUGCAAGGCUAACUUCCAAUCAUGUGCAGCUACAGCAUCCACUGUCCCACUAAAAUGCUCCAUAUCCAUGUUCCUCAUCUGACGCGUCAGCCUGUAGAACCUCUCAUCAUAAACCGGGUAAACAUGAGGUCGCGGUGGUGGUGGUGGUGGUAGAUCCUGAACACCAUGAGCAAACUGCUGAGCUGGUCCGUGCUGCAGUGGAACCUGAGGAAGGGGAACCUGCUGAACGGGAUCCUCAUGAUCAUGCUGAUCCUGCUGAACCUGAACCGGUGGAACUUGCUGAACCCGAAUCUGUGGACCCUGCUGCACCUGAACCUGAGGACCCUGUUGAACGGCAGCCAUCUGACGAGCAACCUCCUGAGCAGCUACUCGGGCAGCCUCCUGAGCGGCCUGCCUGGCUGCCUCCUGGGCAAUCUGCUGAAGUGCCUCCAGAGCGGCCUGUCUAGCGGCAUCCUGAAUCAUCUGUCUCAAUGCAUCCUGAUCAACUGGUGGAGCCGCGGGUGGCGGAACUGCGGGCUGCUCAUGCUCAUCUACAUCGUCUCUAACAGCUCUGGUGGUCUGGGCACGGGUGGUUCUUCUCCUUGGCGGCAUCUGAAAGGAAAGCGAAAUGUUAACUUACGCUCAACUUUUGAUACCAACAUUUAAGGAGAAGUGAUAUCGAACGGAAAGGUGCUAUUUAUUUUCAUUUUAAAAAUUCCCAAAUCCCAGAAAAUAUUUUGAAAUCAUCUAAAACCGUCAAAACCGAAUAAAACCGAAUAAAACCAGGUCUCCAAAAAUCGCCAUCCCGGGUCGGAGCCGGGACAGAACCCCGCUCUGAUACCAAAACUGUGACGCCCGUCACUUUCGAAAUAAUAAUAAAAAUGAUGCGAUAAAUAAUAGUUUCUGAAAUCUCUAUUUAUAAAUAUAAAAGUCAACAUCCACGCUGGAAAUCCAUAAUAUAAAAUAACAUCCGAAAUAUAGAUAACGGUAUAAGUCUGAAAUAGGAAAUAACAUAAACGAUAAAAGCCAAAGGCCUAAAAGCCCGAUAACGAUAAAAGCGAUAGAAGCCCAAAAGCCCAAUAGCACCGGUCCGAUAAUCACUCCUGCUCGUCGGUCUCACCUGAAAGGGGGAAAGAAGGAGGGGUGAGCAACAGGGGAGUUGCCCAGCGAGGUAUGGGAUGCUAAACCGCAAACCACAGACUGAGUUCAUAGCACUACUAAAAUGUAGACAUAGCUCUAGCAUGAAACAAACACGGUGCCUAUUACACCCCACAGAACAAUCAAUAUGCGGCUAGAGGACUAGCCGUUACAACUCAUGCGCUUAUAGUACAUAGCUACUCUAUGCACCACGCAUCUCCUCAUAAGGAUAUAUACAUAUACUCGAAGCGUCGCUAGUACAGUCUGUCUCUGUACCCCCGCCCAUCGUAGCGUCAAAUGCAAACGUCUCUGCACCACGCCCCAAACAGUAGCGUCGAAGCUCAAACGUCUCUGAACUCACGCCCAUACCAUACCGUAGCGUCGAAGCUCAUACAUCUCUGAACUCACGCCCUCAUCACAUAAUCCCUACUCAUAACUAUGUAUAUACAUAUAUAUAGCAGUUCUUAGCAUCAAUCAUUUCACACAAUCGUUGAAUCCUCUAUUAUCCUAAUUCCGGUUAACAAUCAAUAUCAAUAAUGAACAAGCAAGACUCUCAAACAGACUCGAUUCACAGAGACGGAUCAUGUUUCGAAACUAAACUUUCCAUAAUGGUAGUACUAAACUAGCUCGGGAUUUAACGGAGUAGCCCUCACCUUAGCAAUAGGGAAAUGUGGUAUCUAUGAACUCCAGAUGCUCAAAUAGACUCCAAAUCUGAAAUCAGGGCGAAAAAUCGAGUCAUAACGCCUUUCGAACGGUUUAAAACGGGUCUGGUCAAGGUUUAUGGAAAAGUCAAUUCGAUGGUCAAAGGUCAAUCCGGUCAACUCUUGACCAGAAAUCAAUUUGUCCUAACCGACCGGUUUACCCUAACCGAAACGAAAUCAAUUUAAACCGGUCAAACCAGUCAAACCAGCGGUUAACCGAGUCAACCGAGUUGACUCACCGGGUCGACUCAGCCGAGUUGGCGAGUCGUCGGCGAGUCACCGGCGACGGUCACCGACGGCGACGGCGAUGGCUUACCGGUGGUGACGGCGGAAGACGGCGGCGACAGAAGGCGGAGCACGGCAACAGCGACGGCGUUCCGGUGGUGGUGAGGCGGUGGUCUGGCGGCGGAGACGAUUUCCGGCGGCGGCGCGUGUAACUCACGCGCGCACAGAGGCGAAACUUCCGGAAGCUCUAGCGGCUUCGUCCGGACUCCGAUUGCGGCGUUGUCGGUGGCUACGGCUUCGUCUCGACGAGAGGAACACGAUGGUGGCUCUGCAUGCGCGAGAUUCUCAACGGUUAAGAAGAUAUGGCCGAUAUACUGAACGGACGAAAACAAAGCUUAAGAGGCGGCGGUUUCCGACGAUACUCAGCUGCGGUUGAUGGUGAUGACGAGCUUGACGAUGUCCUGGCGUGCGGUGGCUCCGGCGAGGACUCCUGGUGGCAGCAUGCAGUGGUUCCUAUCUUUCUUUCUCUCACUCUCUCUCUCUUUCACUUCUUCUUCUCUCUAACUUUUCUGAUUUCUUUUUGAUGCAGGUGGAGAAAACAAUGUGAAAAAUGAGGUAUUUAUAAACAAACAUUUUAGUCUUGAUGUAUU